This is a long non-coding RNA of Rhineura floridana, 680 nucleotides long. RefSeq lists it as uncharacterized. The transcript is spliced from 3 exons. The record is from RefSeq and is a predicted model, not a curated record. Lineage: Eukaryota; Metazoa; Chordata; Lepidosauria; Squamata; Rhineuridae.
GUUUGCUUGGAGCACUGGAGGUGGUACAAGACUGAAGGUUGAUUGAGCUUGCAAACACAUACAUGUGCAAGACAAGUUGUGAAGUCAGAUUCGCACUGAGACCUCAUGGUAUUUUCUAAAUUUUAAGAGCUUUGUGACUACAGAAAUACCAGAUUGGAAUGUUCAAGUGGUUCACAUACAUUGUCUCAGCAAUCCUUACAACAACUUUGUAAGAUGACAGCAGGAUCUGAAGGAGCCUCUGGAGUGAAGCAGAAGUCCUGGCAGGCUUGUUUGGGAAACUAUGGCCCUCCAAAUGUUGUUGGACUACAAUUCCCAUCAGCCCCGGUCAGCACGGUAAAAGGUCAGGGAUGAUAGUUGGAGCUGAACAAUGUGGUCCCAGGGUAUGAUCUGAAGCCACCUUGCUGAAGCUAAGCAGAUCUGGAUCUGGUCAGUCCCUAGAAUGGGUGACCACUUGGGAACCACGUGUAUGAUGCCUUGGAUUCCAUCAUGGAAGAAUGGUGGGAUAUAAACAAGAUGGCGAACGAGUAAUACGCUAAGCCAGGAGCUCCGCUGACUGACUCCGCUGACCGGCAAAACACCGGAUAAAUGUUUGAUGGAGAAACAUACCUCGGCGUUUGUGGUGAUUUGCAGUCACAGGUGGGGCGGUUCGGGGGUUCCUCCUAUGUCGAUUGGGGUCGGAC